RNAcentral lists this ribosomal RNA (458 nucleotides) under uncultured Sphingobacteriales bacterium. RNAcentral describes it as "bacterial SSU rRNA". It matches the Rfam family "Bacterial small subunit ribosomal RNA", at positions 924 to 1382 of the family's 1533-position model. Lineage: Bacteria; Pseudomonadati; Bacteroidota; Sphingobacteriia; Sphingobacteriales. The record is from RNAcentral.
CACAAGCGGAGGAGCAUGUGGUUUAAUUCGAUGAUACGCGAGGAACCUUACCUGGGCUCGAACGUAAGAUGACUGUAGGUGAAAGCUUACAUCUCUUCGGAGCAUUUUACGAGGUGCUGCAUGGUUGUCGUCAGCUCGUGCCGUGAGGUGUCGGGUUAAGUCCCAUAACGAGCGCAACCCCUACCUUUAGUUGCCAUCAGGUAAUGCUGGGGACUCUAAAGGAACUGCCUACGCAAGUAGUGAGGAAGGCGGGGAUGACGUCAAAUCAGCACGGCCCUUACGUCCAGGGCUACACACGUGCUACAAUGGCCGAUACAGAGGGCAGCUACCUGGUGACAGGAUGCAAAUCCCCAAAGUCGGUCUCAGUUCGGAUCGGAGUCUGCAACCCGACUCCGUGAAGUUGGAUUCGCUAGUAAUCGCGCAUCAGCCAUGGCGCGGUGAAUACGUUCCCGGGCCUU